Molecule: small nucleolar RNA, 81 nt
Organism: Camelus dromedarius (Arabian camel)
Lineage: Eukaryota; Metazoa; Chordata; Mammalia; Artiodactyla; Camelidae
Source: Ensembl
UGGAUCGAUGAUGAUCCCUACCGGCGUAUGAGUCAUCGAUGACGAAUAAUACGUGUCUGUGUCUGGAACGCUGAGGUCCAG